UCCCUGGUGGCCUAGAGGUUAAAGCGUCUGCCUGCAACGCAGGAGACCUGGGUUUGAUCCCUUGGUUGGGAA
Molecule: transfer RNA, 72 nt
Filed under: Capra hircus (goat)
Lineage: Eukaryota; Metazoa; Chordata; Mammalia; Artiodactyla; Bovidae
Also listed under: 1 other name
Rfam family: tRNA
About the family: Transfer RNA (tRNA) molecules are approximately 80 nucleotides in length. Their secondary structure includes four short double-helical elements and three loops (D, anti-codon, and T loops).
Source: Rfam by way of RNAcentral